CGGUUACGUGAUUAUUAGGGG
RNAcentral lists this microRNA (21 nucleotides) under Schmidtea mediterranea. RNAcentral describes it as "sme-miR-2150". The record is from miRBase by way of RNAcentral. Lineage: Eukaryota; Metazoa; Platyhelminthes; Tricladida; Dugesiidae.